This 452-nucleotide ribosomal RNA is filed under the name uncultured bacterium. Its description in RNAcentral is "bacterial SSU rRNA". It matches the Rfam family "Bacterial small subunit ribosomal RNA", at positions 334 to 803 of the family's 1533-position model. The record is from RNAcentral.
AACUCCUACGGGAGGCAGCAGUGGGGAAUAUUGCACAAUGGGGGAAACCCUGAUGCAGCGACGCCGCGUGAGUGAAGAAGUAUCUCGGUAUGUAAAGCUCUAUCAGCAGGGAAGAAAAUGACGGUACCUGACUAAGAAGCCCCGGCUAACUACGUGCCAGCAGCCGCGGUAAUACGUAGGGGGCAAGCGUUAUCCGGAAUUACUGGGUGUAAAGGGUGCGUAGGUGGUAUGGCAAGUCAGAAGUGAAAACCCAGGGCUUAACUCUGGGACUGCUUUUGAAACUGUCAGACUGGAGUGCAGGAGAGGUAAGCGGAAUUCCUAGUGUAGCGGUGAAAUGCGUAGAUAUUAGGAGGAACAUCAGUGGCGAAGGCGGCUUACUGGACUGAAACUGACACUGAGGCACGAAAGCGUGGGGAGCAAACAGGAUUAGAUACCCUGGUAGUCCACGCCGU